Long non-coding RNA from Rhea pennata, 341 nucleotides. RefSeq lists it as uncharacterized. The transcript is spliced from 2 exons. Lineage: Eukaryota; Metazoa; Chordata; Aves; Rheiformes; Rheidae. The record is from RefSeq and is a predicted model, not a curated record.
AGCACAAAUAGCACAUGAAAACCAAGCGGAGGGUCUGAUCUUCUCAGCUUCAAGGAGGUGGUCUGGUAAAAGUCCCCCCCAAAGGAAAUCGGAGGGGGCAAAUAAUGAUGGUGCAGCCAGGGCAAGGCAGGCAAGUCUGCAGGGAAAUUGGCCCGCAGCCGCCCUGGCCUAAAGUUGAAGCAAAGUGACGCAACUCGCCAGAGCAGGCAGUUCUCUCUCUUGUUAUUAUGGAGAACAGCAGCUGGUCAGACGUAACAUCAAACGCCUUUUUUUUUUUUCUCCUCUCUAUAAGCUAACAAGGAACCAGGAGGCCCUUGUAUAGGGACACACACUCACACAAA